AGAUUUUCUGUUGUGCUUGAUCUAACCAUGUGGUUGCCAGGUCUGAGUACAACAUGGUUCCGUCAAGCACCAUGGAACGUCA
RNAcentral lists this microRNA precursor (82 nucleotides) under Otolemur garnettii (small-eared galago). Its description in RNAcentral is "mir-218 microRNA precursor family". It matches the Rfam family "mir-218 microRNA precursor family". From Rfam's summary of the family: The extents of the hairpin precursors are not known. In this case the mature sequence in excised from the 5'arm of the hairpin. The record is from Rfam by way of RNAcentral. Lineage: Eukaryota; Metazoa; Chordata; Mammalia; Primates; Galagidae.